RNAcentral lists this ribosomal RNA (178 nucleotides) under uncultured bacterium. RNAcentral describes it as "partial 16S ribosomal RNA". It matches the Rfam family "Bacterial small subunit ribosomal RNA", at positions 1321 to 1500 of the family's 1533-position model. The record is from RNAcentral.
UGAAGCUGGAAUUGCUGUAAUGGCAGGUCAGCAUACUGCCGUGAAUACGUUCCCGGGCCUUGUACACACCGCCCGUCACACCAUGAGAGUUGGGAAUACCCGAAGCCUGUGAGCUAACUUAUAGAGGCAGCAGUCGAAGGUAGAAUCAAUGAUUGGGGUGAAGUCGUAACAAGGUAAC